This 305-nucleotide ribosomal RNA is filed under the name uncultured bacterium. RNAcentral describes it as "bacterial SSU rRNA". It matches the Rfam family "Bacterial small subunit ribosomal RNA", at positions 333 to 650 of the family's 1533-position model. The record is from RNAcentral.
UUUUCCCUACGGGGGCAGCAGUCGAGAAUCAUCCACAAUGGGGGAAACCCUGAUGGUGCGACGCCGCGUGGGGGAAUGAAGGUCUUCGGAUUGUAAACCCCUGUCAUGUGGGAGCAAAUUAAAAAGAUAGUACCACAAGAGGAAGAGACGGCUAACUCUGUGCCAGCAGCCGCGGUAAUACAGAGGUCUCAAGCGUUGUUCGGAAUCACUGGGCGUAAAGCGUGCGUAGGCUGUUUCGUAAGUCGUGUGUGAAAGGCGCGGGCUCAACCCGCGGACGGCACAUGAUACUGCGCGACUAGAGGAAU